RNAcentral lists this ribosomal RNA (484 nucleotides) under uncultured bacterium. RNAcentral describes it as "partial 16S ribosomal RNA". It matches the Rfam family "Bacterial small subunit ribosomal RNA", at positions 30 to 507 of the family's 1533-position model. The record is from RNAcentral.
AUUGAACGCUGGCGGAAUGCUUUACACAUGCAAGUCGAACGGCAGCACGGGGGCAGCCCUGGUGGCGAGUGGCGAACGGGUGAGUAAUACAUCGGAACGUGCCCGGUCGUGGGGGAUAACAUAGCGAAAGUUACGCUAAUACCGCAUACGAUCUGAGGAUGAAAGCGGGGGACCUUCGGGCCUCGCGCGAUCGGAGCGGCCGAUGUCAGAUUAGGUAGUUGGUGGGGUAAAGGCCUACCAAGCCGACGAUCUGUAGCUGGUCUGAGAGGACGACCAGCCACACUGGGACUGAGACACGGCCCAGACUCCUACGGGAGGCAGCAGUGGGGAAUUUUGGACAAUGGGCGCAAGCCUGAUCCAGCCAUUCCGCGUGCAGGACGAAGGCCUUCGGGUUGUAAACUGCUUUUGUACGGAACGAAAAGGCUCUGGCUAAUACCUGGGGCUCAUGACGGUACCGUAAGAAUAAGCACCGGCUAACUACGUG